This 1071-nucleotide long non-coding RNA is filed under the name Sparus aurata (gilthead seabream). RNAcentral describes it as "lncRNA (ENSSAUG00010021243.1)". The record is from RNAcentral. Lineage: Eukaryota; Metazoa; Chordata; Actinopteri; Spariformes; Sparidae.
CGGAAAACGAAAAACGGAAAACGACUCGUUUACUGAUAUUGGAUACUGUGUUCAUGAAUGGGAAUCGGGGAUGAAAUAACAGUGCCAUUUUUCAUUCCAGAUUUUGCCGUACGUCUUUUUUAAUGACCGGAAGACGCCGUGUUAUGCCGCGAAAACACUUGAUCUGAUCCGUAGACCGAUUCGACAUGUCUUUAUCUGAAUAUUCAGAGUUUAUUAUACCCAGGAGAUCAAGUGGGAUGUCUUGUGGCGAUAUAGCCGCAGCACUGACUGACCACUUUGGCCUCCUGCGAGGCUUUUCCGAGAGGAAUGUGAGCCGGUGGUGCUCUGAGCAGGGACUCGGCGUGAAAGAUUUCUGCCCAGACAGGCGACUGGAAGGCGAAGUUGCGAAAGCAAUUGAAGAGACUGGGCCUUCCUACGGAAGAAAAAUGAUGACCGGAUAUCUUGCGGCCAAAGGGGUCAAAGCUUCUGAGGGCAGAGUGGGGAAAGUCCUACGGACCAUUCAUCAGCCUUACCAUACAGCAAGGCAGCAGGGUUCCAGAAACCUUAACCCGGUGCCUUACACGGCUGAGUACAUGGGUCACAAAAUCCACAUUGAUCAAAAUGAAAAGUUGGUGAUGUUUGGAGUGACCCAUGUCAUGGCUAUUGAUGGGUACAGUAAGAAGAUUGUUGGGCACUCCACUAUGCCCAUCAAAAACAACAUAAUCAUUUAUGAUGAAGUGUAUAGGUAAGAAAAUAAAAAAAAAUUUAAAAAAUGUGCUUAACUGCUUGAAUGUUAAAGGGUUAAAUGUAUUUGUGAUGUCAAAAAACAGAAUGAGUAUUAUAUUUAAGUUGGAAAGUUUCCUUCUGUUUGUGUAUUAUCUUCAGACCAGCUGUUUUGUCCUAUGGGAUAUGGGACCAAGUGCGGGUAGACUGUGGUCGGGAGUUUUUCCUGACCCUGUAUAUGCAGGAGAAGCUGGCUGCAUACCGUCACAACAAAGAAAGGCAGCCAUACCUCCAAACUCCAUCUACCAGGGUAAAAUACAUGUCAUAAAAAAUACAAUUGAUGCUUGUUUGCAUUCAGGGGCCUGCUGC